Non-coding RNA from Roseovarius sp. TM1035, 93 nucleotides. Lineage: Bacteria; Pseudomonadati; Pseudomonadota; Alphaproteobacteria; Rhodobacterales; Roseobacteraceae. The record is from Rfam.
UGAUCGGGAGGCUGUCAUUGGGACGAUGGCCAUGAAUGGAUCAAACCCAGCCGUCUCGGAUGGACGCGGUGCUGAGCCCCAACAGCACGCGCG